RNAcentral lists this transfer RNA (71 nucleotides) under Loxodonta africana (African savanna elephant). It matches the Rfam family "tRNA". Rfam says of the family: Transfer RNA (tRNA) molecules are approximately 80 nucleotides in length. Their secondary structure includes four short double-helical elements and three loops (D, anti-codon, and T loops). Further hydrogen bonds mediate the characteristic L-shaped molecular structure. tRNAs have two regions of fundamental functional importance: the anti-codon, which is responsible for specific mRNA codon recognition, and the 3' end, to which the tRNAs corresponding amino acid is attached (by aminoacyl-tRNA synthetases). tRNAs cope with the degeneracy of the genetic code in two manners: having more than one tRNA (with a specific anti-codon) for a particular amino acid; and 'wobble' base-pairing, i.e. permitting non-standard base-pairing at the 3rd anti-codon position. Lineage: Eukaryota; Metazoa; Chordata; Mammalia; Proboscidea; Elephantidae. The record is from Rfam by way of RNAcentral.
GCAGUGGUGGCUUAGUGGUAGAACUCUCGCCUAUCAUGCGGGAGACCAGGGUUCUGUUCCCGGCUAUUGCA